AAUGUCAUAAUUAUGAUUUACCAAAGCAUGAAUCUUUUUUCCUCAUGUAGCAGAAAUGAGCUUCCAUUAAAACGUGACCUGGACAUGUUUGUGAGAUUCACCCUACUGCUAUCUUUCCUCUCUCUAGAUUUGUUCAAAUGUAGUUUUUCCUAAUAAAACCGAGCUUAUGCGUAGUCAUUCGUACUAUAGAGAGAGAAACACGAUAUGAUUUAAAAAGACGGCAUAACCAUCCUUUGUCUCAUAUUUUCUUAAAAUGUGUUUGCAUGAGUGAAUAUGUAACAGCCAUUUGUUUUCUUCAAAUACGAGACUUGCUGGCUUUAGCAGAGGUCACUGAGGCGUCACACACCAUUUUCCAGAUCACGUGACAUUCCAGUGCUGUUCUAGAAACACGUCAGAAGCUCUGAGUUUAGGAUCAGUGUUGUGGAAUCCUCACUAAUGAUUUAUGCGGUAGAUGGCGGACACAUUGGCUUCUGUCGUAUAAUUACCAGCCAAUGAGAUGUCAACUUUACUGCCAUUUGCAUAUCACCAAUGGAAUAGAUCCAGAUAAACGGGCUGGGGUUUCCAAGUGCUGCAUGUAAGACAUCUUUGCUCGAUGUGGAUCAGCCAGGGGUUCAGAACCAGAUGAAUCAGUCCAUCUCAAAAGCCGCAGUUUCAUUACCAAUUAAUCGCAGUGUAGAAUUGAGCAUCAAAUCGAUGGCAGACAAAGUCUAUUUUUAACAGUGGUUGUGGAUGGUUUUGAGGAGAGAUGGACAGCUAUUGGAUGAUUUGAACGGUGCAUGUUUGUAACAAACACACACAACCGGUGACUUCUGUAACCCCUUUAAUAUCACCUUUGUUCCAUACUGAUCCGCUUCAUCUUAAAAAGAAGUCAUUUUAAAAUCAUAUUUAAUAAAUAUCUUGUUCUUUUAUUGGUCAUACAUUAGUGGAAAUGUUUCUUUUCUUGUCUCUGAAAGUAUGUGCACAAUAAAACAAUGUAAAUCUG
Long non-coding RNA from Rhinichthys klamathensis goyatoka, 982 nucleotides. RefSeq lists it as uncharacterized. NCBI's taxonomy places the organism in Eukaryota, Metazoa, Chordata, Actinopteri, Cypriniformes, Leuciscidae. The record is from RefSeq and is a predicted model, not a curated record. The transcript has 2 exons.